This 540-nucleotide ribosomal RNA is filed under the name uncultured bacterium. RNAcentral describes it as "partial 16S ribosomal RNA". It matches the Rfam family "Bacterial small subunit ribosomal RNA", at positions 355 to 887 of the family's 1533-position model. The record is from RNAcentral.
UGGGGAAUUUUGGACAAUGGGGGAAACCCUGAUCCAGCCAUCCCGCGUGUGCGAUGAAGGCCUUCGGGUUGUAAAGCACUUUUGGCAGGAAAGAAACGUCGCGGGUUAAUACCCCGCGGAACUGACGGUACCUGCAGAAUAAGCACCGGCUAACUACGUGCCAGCAGCCGCGGUAAUACGUAGGGUGCAAGCGUUAAUCGGAAUUACUGGGCGUAAAGCGUGCGCAGGCGGUUCGGAAAGAAAGAUGUGAAAUCCCAGAGCUUAACUUUGGAACUGCAUUUUUAACUACCGGGCUAGAGUGUGUCAGAGGGAGGUGGAAUUCCGCGUGUAGCAGUGAAAUGCGUAGAUAUGCGGAGGAACACCGAUGGCGAAGGCAGCCUCCUGGGAUAACACUGACGCUCAUGCACGAAAGCGUGGGGAGCAAACAGGAUUAGAUACCCUGGUAGUCCACGCCCUAAACGAUGUCAACUAGCUGUUGGGGUCUUCGGACCUUGGUAGGCGCAGCUAACGCGUGAAGUUGACCGCCUGGGGAGUACGGUC